Molecule: unclassified non-coding RNA, 220 nt
Filed under: Hevea brasiliensis (rubber tree)
Lineage: Eukaryota; Viridiplantae; Streptophyta; Magnoliopsida; Malpighiales; Euphorbiaceae
Source: RNAcentral
GAAUUUUUGGGCAGCUUGAGAGGAUUAUGAUUUGCAUGAGUAUGAUACAUUUGAAUGAGUUUAGAAACCUUCCUUAGUUGAAUGAUUAGUAUUAAUACCAUUAAGUGUGAUUAAUUGCAACAAAGUAGUGAAAUUGAUGAGUUAGGGUUUUGAAUGCUAGGGAUUGUGAACCAAAAUUUGAAGAAAUGCAUAAAUAGCAUGUUGGACCUAUUGUGAAGUG